AUGGCUGGUGAUUUGGGCCUGUGCUGCACGGAGUGGGGCAGGGGCUCGGUAGGGGCUGUGUCUCAUGGCCUCGCUCUCUCUCCCUUUGCAGUUAGCGCCACGGCCCCGUCUGUCUUCCCCCUGACCUCCUGCACUGGCGAAGUCACCACGUCCCAGGUCACCUUCGGCUGCCUGGCCAAAGGAUACUUCCCCGAGCCGGUCACCGUGACAUGGAGCCCAAACGUCGGCUCCUCGGGCGUGAAGACCUAUCCCUCCGUGCUGCAACCUUCCAGCGGCCUCUACUCCCUCAGCAGCCAGGUCACCGUCCCUGCCAGCAGCUGGGAGUCUGACACCUAUAGAUGCACCGUAGAGCACCAGCCCACCAGAUCCAGCAUCUCCACGGAAAUCCCAAGGCCCAUCCCCACUGAACCCCACGCCCCCGAGGUGCACGUCCUCCACUCCUCCUGCACCACCAAGCCAGGUGCCAUCCAGCUGCUGUGCUUCAUCUCCGGCUUCUACCCCGAGUCUUUGACGGUGGAAUGGCUGGUGGACGGCGAGCCCGGGCUACUUCCUAGUGACACCGCCCCUGCCAAGAAGGACGCCGACGGCCGCACCUUCAGCACCCGCAGCAAUGCCAGUGUCUCCCAGGACGAGUGGCUGGAGGGCAAGACGUACACCUGCCAGGUGUCCCACCCGGGCAGUGCCACCACAAAGCAGGACCACGCCCGCAAGUGCAGAGAAGAAACAACAUCUCCCAGCAACAUCCAGGUCUUCCUGGUGCCCCCAUCUCCUGCCGCCCUGUACGUGGCCCAGAGCCCCAUGCUCACCUGCCUGGUGGUCAACCUGCCUAGCGACUCCGGCCUCCAGGUGGUCUGGUCCCGGGAGAAGCCAGGGUCCAUUGUCCCUGAUCCCCUAACCAUCGCUGAUCAUUUCAAUGGCACCUUCACCGCCUCCAGCUCCAUGCCCAUCUUCACCCGCGACUGGGAAGCCGGAGAGACCUUCACCUGCAAAGUGGAGCACUCGGACCUUCCCUCGCCCCUCAUCAAAUCCAUCUCCAAGAAGCCAGGCAGGCGCUCUGGCCCAGGCAUCUACCUCCUGCGCCCCCACAACGAGGAGCUGAGCAGCUCUGAAGACUCGGUCAGCCUCACCUGCCUGGUGCGGGGCUUCUUCCCCGAGGACAUCUCCGUGCAGUGGAUGAAGAACCACAAACCCGAGGAGACCUUGGAAUACAUCACCACCCCGCCCAUCAAGGACGGAACCGGCGACUCGAACUUCUUCCUCUACAGCAAGCUGAAAGUCAGCAAGGCCAGCUGGAACAGCGGGGACAUCUACACCUGCAUGGUCAUCCAUGAAGCCCUCUCGUUGAAGUUCACCCAACGCAGUGUCAGCAAAGACUCCGGUAAAUGAAGACGGCUCCUCCCAGCCCCGCUGCUAGCACUGUCCAGUACAGCUUCCUGUAAAUAAUCUCUGUGCCCCCAAUGACAACAAGUGAAUAAAUGGAACUAGU
Molecule: non-coding RNA, 1486 nt
Organism: Chrysemys picta bellii (western painted turtle)
Lineage: Eukaryota; Metazoa; Chordata; Testudines; Emydidae
Source: the annotation of a RefSeq genome assembly